This 430-nucleotide long non-coding RNA is filed under the name Elaeis guineensis (African oil palm). RNAcentral's name for it is "long non-coding RNA (EGUI_LNC033927)". The record is from RNAcentral. Lineage: Eukaryota; Viridiplantae; Streptophyta; Magnoliopsida; Arecales; Arecaceae.
CUUGCUUUUAGCCAUUAGUCCUGAAUUAAUUUAACUCUCCAUAUUCGUUUAGCUAUUGCCAAAUAUUUUUCAUAAGUCAUAAGUUAAGCUUAAAAUUUUUAGAAACCCAAUUCACCCCCUCGCCUCUUGGGUUGCAUAGCUGGGCAACAGGGUCCCCCGUUGCUUUCUUUAGACACCAAUUAUGUUGGUCAGGUUAGCGAAUGAAACCAAUUAAUGAACCACCUUCCUUCAGGACGUAAUCUCUGAACCAUUUUUUUAGACACCAGUUAAACUGACUAACCUGAAUCCGAUCUAACUUUUAGAGUUUCUUGUCCUACUGAGCUCGAGGAUCCUUAAGGGUCAACAUCUAAUCGAUUUUAAAUUAGAAGUUUAGGUCAAUAUAAUUGCAAGAUGGUGAUUUGUGGGCCAAAAAAAGGUGAUGAAAUCCCCA